UACGUAGGGUGCAAGCGUUGUCCGGAAUUAUUGGGCGUAAAGAGCUCGUAGGCGGUCUGUCACGUCGGCUGUGAAAGCCCGAGGCUCAACCUCGGGCCUGCAGUCGAUACGGGCAAACUAGAGUACUGCAGGGGAGACUGGAAUUCCUGGUGUAGCGGUGAAAUGCGCAGAUAUCAGGAGGAACACCGGUGGCGAAGGCGGGUCUCUGGGCAGUAACUGACGCUGAGGAGCGAAAGCGUGGGGAGCGAACAGG
This 253-nucleotide ribosomal RNA is filed under the name uncultured bacterium. RNAcentral describes it as "partial 16S ribosomal RNA". It matches the Rfam family "Bacterial small subunit ribosomal RNA", at positions 524 to 776 of the family's 1533-position model. The record is from RNAcentral.